This is a non-coding RNA of Camellia sinensis, 1515 nucleotides long. The record is from RefSeq and is a predicted model, not a curated record. NCBI's taxonomy places the organism in Eukaryota, Viridiplantae, Streptophyta, Magnoliopsida, Ericales, Theaceae.
GAAUCUUUAUUGAUGGAAUCAUAUGAAAAGAUAGAGUACAUCAAUAAAGAGGAGCUCGGAGCUACAUUAAGCCCGGAACUCCAGUUGGAGAGAAUCCAACAUGGAGAGAAAACCAAAAAAACAGAAGCACUAUACACAACAGAACAGCAGCAGAGCAAGCUAGCAGCAUACAACAGAGAAGGCAGCCACAAAACAUAUUUCCAGCAGGUUGAACACCACUCAGCACCGAAAACUGAAACAAAAGCCAAACUAAACCAGCAAACAGACCAUUAAAGAUGUAACUGACCGACACCCAACUGAGAGCAUCAACCCUUCAUCUCCAAUCCUUAGCACCACAGAUCUUCACUGAGAUGAAUCAGCAGGUCGAUCAGCAGAACACUCUGAGAGCCACCUAAACAGCAGAGGAAUUUUUCUACAGAUCAAUAUGUAACAUUGGUUACUGUCUCUGAAUUCAACUUUAAAGUGCCUAUAGAGUAAGUGGAGCACAAAGCAAACUUUCAUCAACCCAACCAACACUAGAACUUAGAAACUAAACUGCAGAACUAAUAUCAAACACAUUCUAACCGCAGAAAACAAAGGUAAAGCUACAACACACACAGCAGAAAACAUACUGCACAGAUACAGACAAAGCUCUGCAGCCUAGCAUCAAGAUCACGCCAACCGAGAGCAGCCUGCAGAAGGUCCCAGUAGUAGUAUUGAUGAUCAAAGUUAACAAAAUUCUAGUUACUCUCAUGUUAUUUAAGUAUUUAUAAGAGAAAUUUGCAUUUUGACCCCUCCAAAAACCUAUAUAAUUUAGGAGAUAAAAGUGAAAUUAAUCCUUUGUUUUUUGGUUAUAUUAAACAUUCUCCAAAUAACAUUGUCGUCGAAACAAGCGUCGCGUUUAUUAAUCAAUGCUAAACUUUUUGCAUAAUGUUGUUUGGUAUUUUUAUUUUUUGAUUGGAUUGAAUUGAAGGCCUUGGUUGUUCUUCUCUUGGCUUUGGUGCAUUUAUGGAGCAUGGCCCAUUCCAGCCGAGGUCAGAUGGGGUCUUGCUGAAAAACAAAUAUUCCUGGAAUUUGGAAUCAAACAUGCUGUAUGUAGAGAGCCCCAUUGGUGUUGGAUUUUCUUACUCAAACACAAGCUCAGAUUACAUCAGUUGGAAUGAUACUCAAACUGCUCAGGACAAUCUGCAAUUCAUUAUUAACUAGUUAGAGACUGAUUUAUAUUUGACUGGGGAGAGUUGUGCAGGUCACUACAUUCCACAGCUUGCAGCAUUAUUGCUAGACUACAACAAACAACCCAACAUCAAACCAGUCAAGCUCAAAGCAAUUGCAUUGGGUAACCCGCUUUUAGAUAUCGAAAUCAGUGUGAAUGAUGCUGAAUAUUUGUGGUCUCGUGGAGUCAUUUCAGAUGAAAUGUUUAUGCUGAAAAACACUGUGUGUAAUGAAUCAAAGUACUUGUUGGAGCUUAUUCAUCACAAUCUGUCAAAGGAAUGCACCAAUGUGUUUCAAAGAAUGCAAGAGGAGAUGGGUAGUGAC